This 473-nucleotide ribosomal RNA is filed under the name uncultured archaeon. RNAcentral's name for it is "bacterial SSU rRNA". It matches the Rfam family "Archaeal small subunit ribosomal RNA", at positions 1 to 471 of the family's 1478-position model. The record is from RNAcentral.
UUCCGGUUGAUCCUGCCGGAGGCCACUGCUAUUGGAGUCCGAUUUAGCCAUGCUAGUCGUCCGGGUUUAGACCCGGGGCGGAAAGCUGAGUAACACGUAGUCAACCUGCCCUACAGAUUGGGAUACCCUCGGGAAACUGAGGCUAAUACCGAAUAGGAGAGGAUGCCUGGAACCGGUACCUCUCUGAAAUGCUCUGGCGCUGUAGGAUGGGACUGCGGCUGAUUAGGUUGACGCCGAGGUAACGUCUCGGUGUGCCAGUGAUCAGUAACGGGCGUGAGAGCGCGAGCCGUCAGUCGUGUUCUGAGACAAGAACACGGGUCCUACGGGACGCAGCAGGCGCGGAAACUUUACAAUGUGCGAAAGCGCGAUAGGGGGACUCCAAGUGCUUCUCGUAAACAAAGCGGGAAGCUUUUCUGUACUUUAAGACGGUACAGGAACAAGUGGUGGGCAAGACUGCUGCCAGCCGCCGCGGU